GUACCUUUCUCGGCCUUUUGGCUAAGAUCAAGUGUAGUAUCUGUUCUUAUCAGUUUAAUAUCUGAUAUGUGGGCCGAUGGCUCAUACGAUAUUAAAUUUAUUUUUUGAGGGUGAAGUUCCAUCAAAGUAUCUUACUACGUGGGUCCUCAAGCGUCGCCCAUGCAUUGCACUAUUGCACGGGCCUGGCGCAUCCCAC
Molecule: small nuclear RNA, 196 nt
Organism: Salvia splendens (bonfire salvia)
Lineage: Eukaryota; Viridiplantae; Streptophyta; Magnoliopsida; Lamiales; Lamiaceae
Product: U2 spliceosomal RNA
Exons: 1
Source: RefSeq, a predicted model, not a curated record